Molecule: ribosomal RNA, 437 nt
Filed under: uncultured bacterium
Lineage: Bacteria
Description: bacterial SSU rRNA
Rfam family: Bacterial small subunit ribosomal RNA
Source: RNAcentral
AACGAACGCUGGCGGCAGGCCUAACACAUGCAAGUCGAGCGCGCCUUCGGGUGAGCGGCGGACGGGUUAGUAACGCGUGGGAACGUGCCCUUCUCUACGGAAUAGCCUCUGGAAACGGAGAGUAAUACCGUAUACGCCCUUUGGGGGAAAGAUUUAUCGGAGAAGGAUCGGCCCGCGUUAGAUUAGGUAGUUGGUGGGGUAACGGCCUACCAAGCCUACGAUCUAUAGCUGGUUUUAGAGGAUGAUCAGCAACACUGGGACUGAGACACGGCCCAGACUCCUACGGGAGGCAGCAGUGGGGAAUCUUAGACAAUGGGGGCAACCCUGAUCUAGCCAUGCCGCGUGAGUGAUGAAGGCCUUAGGGUCGUAAAGCUCUUUCGCCUGUGAUGAUAAUGACAGUAGCAGGUAAAGAAACCCCGGCUAACUCCGUGCCAGCU